RNAcentral lists this ribosomal RNA (440 nucleotides) under uncultured bacterium. Its description in RNAcentral is "partial 16S ribosomal RNA". It matches the Rfam family "Bacterial small subunit ribosomal RNA", at positions 338 to 795 of the family's 1533-position model. The record is from RNAcentral.
CCUACGGGAGGCAGCAGUAGGGAAUAUUGCUCAAUGGGGGAAACCCUGAAGCAGCAACGCCGCGUGGAGGAUGAAGGUUUUCGGAUUGUAAACCCCUUUUGUUAGAGAAGAUAAUGACGGUAUCUAACGAAUUAGCACCGGCUAACUCCGUGCCAGCAGCCGCGGUAAUACGGCGGGUGCAAGCGUUAUUCGGAAUCACUGGGCGUAAAGGGCGCGUAGGCGGGAUAGCAAGUCAGAUGUGAAAUCCUAUGGCUUAACCAUAGAACUGCAUUUGAAACUGUUAUUCUAGAGUAUGGGAGAGGUAGGUGGAAUUCGUGGUGUAGGGGUAAAAUCCGUAGAGAUCAAGAGGAAUACUCAUUGCGAAGGCGACCUGCUAGAACAUAACUGACGCUGAUGCGCGAAAGCGUGGGGAGCAAACAGGAUUAGAUACCCUUGUAGUC